Transfer RNA from Lodderomyces elongisporus NRRL YB-4239, 74 nucleotides. It matches the Rfam family "tRNA". Rfam says of the family: Transfer RNA (tRNA) molecules are approximately 80 nucleotides in length. Their secondary structure includes four short double-helical elements and three loops (D, anti-codon, and T loops). NCBI's taxonomy places the organism in Eukaryota, Fungi, Ascomycota, Pichiomycetes, Serinales, Debaryomycetaceae. The record is from Rfam.
GGAGCUGUGGCCAAGUCCGGUAAGGCAUCUGAUUCCAAAUCAGGCGAUCGCAGGUUCGAAUCCUGUCAGCUUCA